RNAcentral lists this ribosomal RNA (250 nucleotides) under uncultured prokaryote. RNAcentral's name for it is "partial 16S ribosomal RNA". It matches the Rfam family "Bacterial small subunit ribosomal RNA", at positions 524 to 773 of the family's 1533-position model. The record is from RNAcentral.
UACGGAGGAUGCAAGCGUUAUCCGGAUUUAUUGGGUUUAAAGGGUGCGUAGGCUGUUCGACAAGUCAGGGGUGAAAGACCGGCGCCUAACGCCGGAGGUGCCUUUGAUACUGCCGAGCUGGAAUACGGAUGCCGUGGGAGGAAUGAGUAGUGUAGCGGUGAAAUGCAUAGAUAUUACUCGGAACACCGAUUGUGAAGGCAUCUCACGAAACAGGCAUUGACGCUGAGGCACGAAAGCGUGGGGAUCAAAC